CAUUCGCAGUUCCCGCACUAUUUCGUAAAACAUUAGUUUCAUUCAAUCACAACCAUCAACAUCAUCAACAUCAUCAACCAUUACCAUCAGCACCCCUCCGCUUCACCACCUCCAUCCCAAUCACCCACCCCCGUCCCAUUGCUUACCUUUCCAUCCCCUCCCACUACCAUUCAUUCGACCAUUCUUAGUUACGGAAUAAUCCAAGCGUGUCGAGAAGCCGCGAGAUUCGAAAGCCGCAAAUCGAUCUCUCGAAGGCCGCUGAUUGGAGCUAGUUCGAUCGUGUAAUCGGUCGAGCGCCUCUAUCUGUGUGGGUGUAACUCGAGAUGUCCGUACCUCUAAACAGACGUGAACCAAUCACGUGUAACGUAGGAGGUACUUACUUAACAGCCUUAGAAUGAGAGAGAGAGAGAGAGAGAAAGAGCAAUAAGAGCCGGCACGGUGUGGACAAAAAAGAAAAAAAAAAAAAAAAAAAAAAAAAAAAAA
Long non-coding RNA from Vespa mandarinia (Asian giant hornet), 483 nucleotides. Lineage: Eukaryota; Metazoa; Arthropoda; Insecta; Hymenoptera; Vespidae. The record is from RefSeq and is a predicted model, not a curated record.